CGGUGAAUCCUAUGAUGAAUUCUCCGACUGCGACACUUAUGAUUUUCUGCUAGAUGCAGGACUAUUUUUUUCCGUUUGAAAAAAAAAAAGGCGUUUUUCCCUAUGAAUACGUUGAUUGUUGGAGGAAACUCGAUGCAACGCUAUUACCUGCAAAGAAGCAUUUCUACUCACACCUCUGCGAUGCAAAUAUUUUAGACGCCGAUUACGAGCACGCUAAAAAUAUUUAGGGGGAAUUUCGUUAGAGUCAUUAGGGGGCUAUUCGGAUUUAUAUUUAAAUUGACUUUUUCAUAUUUCGUUUUGUUUAAUUUGCAGAUGUAUGAUAUACAUUUAUAUAUCAGGGUUUCAAUGGCCACAUCAAGCGAUUUUGCUUCUUUUGGAACAAUACCGACAGAAGUUAAAUGUUUUGGCCAAAGGAAAAGUAUCCCACAUGAAAUUCUGGGCUGAUGUUGUUUGCAAAGUGCAAGAACAUGGGCACCAACUAAGUGGGCCUCGGUGCCAAUCUAAGUUUUCUGGAAUGGAAAAGACAUACAAAAGUAUCAAGGAUCAAACCAGAAAUCAGGAAAUUCAACUAGGACGUGGCCAUAUUUAACUGCAAUGGACGAUUUAAUGGGGGAGAAACCCUUUAUGUCUCCUCUGUCAAUGUACUCGACUGGAAGAUGUACCCGUACACAUUCGGAGUCAAGUGUGGGGAGUGACAGUGGGAUGAGUACUUGUACGACCACAACAAGUGCGAAAAAACUAAAGCGAGAAACCGUAUUAGAUGGUAUAUUACAACGAAUUAAGACCAUAUUGUACAUGUGGAAAAUGUUUAUUUACCCUCCGAAAGUAAUAUUUCGGUUGAAUGAGAUUCAAGUAUCGAUCCAAACAAUGUUACUUGUGUAUUUUGUGAUCAAAAGACCAAAACACAUCGAUCCAAGAGACUGCCUCUAUUUUCAACCGACAAAAAAAUAUUUUUACCCAAAUUAAAAGAAAGGAACGAACAUUCUACGGAGUUGAUUAAUAAAAUAGCAAAUUAUCCUCAUUCGAAAGUUUAUCAUCCUAAAAGUGAAGAAUUAAAUCAAUCUUCCAUCCAAAUCACUUACGAUCUUGCAAUUGCUAAAGUAGCUUUACAAAUUCAAGCUACCGGAAAACCAACACCAACAUUUGAUAAUUCGUUUAUACAUUUGGGGCCUUUCCACAUCAUGUCUCAUCUUAAAGCUGUAGGAAAAGUUAUAACAGAUUCUGGCUUAUCCAAUGUUAUGGUGGAAGCAACAACUUGCAAUAUCAAUUCAAAACACCUGUGUUUGAAUUAACGAAACAUGGUUUCAACCAUAAUAGCCAUAUUUGUUUAAGAUAAAAAAAAAUAUUUUGUAUACUAUUAUCUUCGUUACCAGCUUCCGACUCAAGCGCUUGAAACAGUAAAUCAAAAUCAUCAAACCAACCGAUGCAGCGUAUGAAAUAUACUAGAUUACGUAGAUUUGGAAAUAUUCUAUACAAGUUAAUGAAGCUGAAGCUAGCAGCCAGAGUCAGCAGCCAAACGUGAUAAACUAUUUGGAAAUAGAAAAAUGCAGUUCAGUUUUCUCCUCAUAAUUGUAUAAAAGUAUUGGGGGUUCGAGGUACCUCCCAAAAUUUUGAUUCUCGAACAUCAUUAGCUUAUUUGAAUGAACAUUAGAACUUUUGGCUGCUAAUUCUGGUUCCGAGCUUCAGCCUUGUUUCAAGUUGUACAAUAUUCUUAUUAUAUCCGAACGCUAUGUGUCUUUGCUUCACCUGCGGAAAAUAUCUUUAUGACUGACGUAGGAGGAAGUUCGAUAGUAUCGAUCAACAAUCGGUAUUCUAUUCGGAAGUAUCAGCGAGCAGACCGAUACUGCUAGCUAAAUUUUUCCGUGUAUAUGAGUCAUUUUGAAAAAGUAUAUUCAAGAAGUUGUUUUUGGUAUGUAUUCUUCAUUCAUCGACCUAUCAGGAAUGAAGAGUUUAUUCAUGAACCGUUUUAAUUCUAAACUUAAAUUGAAAUGAAAAAUUAUUAUGAUUUCGACAGUACCGGAUACUUUGUUGUCUGACAAUAUCGGAUAUAGAUCAGGGUGUUAUUUGUUUGUUUCGUACGUGCAUAAACAGAGAGGGGUUUGGAAAUCAGAUAACAUGUAUCGGGCAAAAAAUGAAAAUACCUUGGAAGGUAGGUACUACUGGACUUCCUCCUACUAAACUUUCGGCGUUGUGAUGAAAAUAUAAUAAUAUUAUUGUACUGUAUUUUAUCCGAUAAAUCCCUCGAAGUUUCGCAAACUAUUCGAUUCACCAUGGAUCGAUUUUUUCAUGUUAACAUUUGAUAAACACUUGUGAAUAUCACUACGAUAAAUAAAUAAGGGAGUUUCGUGACUUUCGUUGAUCUA
This 2363-nucleotide long non-coding RNA is filed under the name Neodiprion lecontei (redheaded pine sawfly). Its description in RNAcentral is "uncharacterized LOC124293090". The record is from RNAcentral. Lineage: Eukaryota; Metazoa; Arthropoda; Insecta; Hymenoptera; Diprionidae.